This 200-nucleotide ribosomal RNA is filed under the name uncultured bacterium. Its description in RNAcentral is "partial 16S ribosomal RNA". It matches the Rfam family "Bacterial small subunit ribosomal RNA", at positions 8 to 202 of the family's 1533-position model. The record is from RNAcentral.
AGAGUUUGAUCCUGGCUCAGGAUGAACGCUGGCGGCGUGCUUAACACAUGCAAGUCGAACGGAGUAUAAGAAGCUUGCUUCUUAUACUUAGUGGCGGACGGGUGAGUAACGCGUGGGUAACCUGCCUCAUACAGGGGGAUAACAAUUGGAAACGAUUGCUAAUACCGCAUAAGCACACAGUGCCGCAUGGUACAGUGUGA